This 220-nucleotide ribosomal RNA is filed under the name uncultured bacterium. RNAcentral's name for it is "partial 16S ribosomal RNA". It matches the Rfam family "Bacterial small subunit ribosomal RNA", at positions 111 to 334 of the family's 1533-position model. The record is from RNAcentral.
UAAUGUAUGGGGAUCUGCCCGAUAGAGGGGGAUAACUACUGGAAACGGUGGCUAAUACCGCAUAAUGUCUACGAACCAAAGCAGGGGCUCUUCGGACCUUGCACUAUCGGAUGAACCCAUAUGGGAUUAGCUAGUAGGUGGGGUAAAGGCUCACCUAGGCGACGAUCUCUAGCUGGUCUGAGAGGAUGAUCAGCCACACUGGGACUGAGACACGGCCCAG